AACGGCCGUACCAUGCUGAAUAUACCGGUUCUCGUUAGAUCACUGAAGUCAAGCAUCAUUGGGCGCGGUCAGUACUUGGGUGGGUGACCACCUGGGAACACUGCGUACCGUU
Molecule: ribosomal RNA, 112 nt
Filed under: Caerostris darwini
Lineage: Eukaryota; Metazoa; Arthropoda; Arachnida; Araneae; Araneidae
Source: RNAcentral